This 775-nucleotide ribosomal RNA is filed under the name uncultured Neocallimastigales. RNAcentral's name for it is "partial large subunit ribosomal RNA". It matches the Rfam family "Eukaryotic large subunit ribosomal RNA", at positions 24 to 632 of the family's 3401-position model. The record is from RNAcentral. Lineage: Eukaryota; Fungi; Neocallimastigomycota; Neocallimastigomycetes; Neocallimastigales.
UACGACUACAUAUCAGGCAUAUCAAUAAGCGGAGGAAAAGGAACUAACAAGGAUUCCCCUAGUAACGGCGAGUGAAGCGGGAAGAGCUCAAAUUUGAAAUCUUAAAGGGUUUCCCUUUACGAAUUGUAGUUUAAAGAAGUGUUUUCUGUUGGAGUUUCGGUAAAAGUUCUUUGGAAUAGGACAUCAUAGAGGGUGAGAAUCCCGUAUUUGACCGUUACUUUCCAGCUGUGUGAUACACUUUCAAAGAGUCGGAUUGUUUGGGAAUGCAGUCCAAGAUGGGUGGUAAAUUUCAUCUAAAGCUAAAUAUUGGCGAGAGACCGAUAGCGAACAAGUACCGUGAGGGAAAGAUGAAAAGAACUUUGAAAAGAGAGUUAAACAGUACGUGAAAUUGUCAAAAGGGAAGCGUUUGACACCAGUGUUGUUUAGUUGAAAAUCAAUUCAAUAGUUUUUGAUUCUAAGUAGUAUUGACUUCAUCAGCUUGCUGCUUUCUUCUCAGAAAUUAUUGAAUGCACUUUUCAGUUAACAAGUCAACAUCAAUUUCUUUUGUUGUAAAAGGGUAAGAGGAAGGUGGCUUGCGCUUCGGCUCAAGUGUUUAUAGCCUUUUAUCUCUGCAAUCGGAGAGAUUGAGGUCUGCAGCGUAGAUCCUUCGGGGUUAGAUACAUUGGUGCUAAGCUAUAGCCUUGUAUAGACAACUUGUUGACUAUGCUCAGUCAUGUAGCUUACUCGCUGAUGCUAUUUUACCUACGCUUAGGAUGUUGAUCUACAGAGCGAGAGU